GUGUCUAGUCUAAAUUAUCUUCUUUCAGUUUUACUUUCUUUCCUUAGAGUCCAUUUUCACAUUAGAAGUUCUUUCAACCUUUUAAGGGCUUUCGAGGGUAGUCUGUUAGCUGUAAAAUUUUUUAAGCACCUUGUUUUGUCAUGCUGCUUUGUGAACACAGUUCUUGCAUCAAACUCUUCUCUGUAGCACAUGAUCCCCCUUCUGAGGCUGGGAAGUCCUCUGGCUUGUGGUAGGUGCCACGUUCUGCAGGGUCCUGCCUUAUAACUUCUCUACAAUGCUGCUUUCUCCUGAGUAAGAAUUACUGUGGCACUGCGGUUCUUGUGUAGUGUUCUCAUAACUGUGAUCCAGAGGUUUUCCAUGGUUAACUGCCUGGCACAGUGCAUCUUAAACACAUAAAGGUGUCUUACUUAAAAUCGUAGAGUGGUCUGGGUUGGAAAGGAGCUCAAAGAUCAUCUAGUUUCAACCUCCCUGCCAUGUGCAGGGUUGCUGGCCACUAGACCAGGCUGCCCAGAGCCACAUCUGGGCUGCAAGCUCACGCUGCUGGCUCAGGUCCAUCUUGUCCACCAGGACCCCAAGUCCUUCUCUGCAGGGUUGCUCUCAAGGAGUCUAUAUAAAUACCUGGGAUUGCCCUGGCCCGAGUGCAGUGCCUUGCAUUUGGCCUUGUUGAACCUCAUUUGGUUCACAUGGGCACAAUUCUUUAGCCUGUCCUUACUUACAGCAGUAUAUGGCUUCAAUUAAAACCGUUCUUUUUCUGUCACUUGUUAGAUACAAAGAAAUAGAUGCAGCAAGGCCCUGGAUCUGCAAAGGGAUGGGAGUAUUAGGCACCUGCUCUCAGCUCUUCAGAGUCGCUAGAGUUUGUACAGCUGUACAUUUCAACCUGCAUAGGCUGUCAUGCAGGACAGCUGGAGAAGAUUGAAGGAGCAUUAAGUUCAGUUCUCUGCCUGACCCUUACUGUGCCAAAGAAUGGCUGCUCUGUUUGUUCCAGGUAGCAAGGAGAGGCAAUGUUAUGCAUUACCACAACUUGAAAAUCUUCUUUCUUGUAAAUCUGUGCUGAUAUGUGCAUCAGAACUGAUGCUUACACAAAAUGGCUGACUUGAUUCACUCACAAUUGCUGCUGUCCUGGAAUCUUCUUGAUCAGAUGGCUCAUGUCCUUGGAAUGGUAUAGGAAUGAAAACUGCUGUAUCAAAUUGCUUAAUUAAAAUAUCCAGUUUAAAAGAUUAAUGCUUUUUUAAAAAAGAUUUGUACAUGUUUAUGAAAUGAAGGUAACGCAUUUCAGCAUCUUAAGAUGUAAUAGUUUUCUUAGUAAUUUGUCUCAAUUAUGUGGCAUGUUUAACAGUGUCUCAAAUGGGGAUCCUUAGUAGCUUUGUGCAGUCUUCAGUUUCAUCCAUUGUCUUCUGCUAUGUCCUCUUUUCUCUGCCAAUUCUGUGGUUUCUCUUGUGGUGUUUAAAAGUCACCUGUUUGCAAUAUUACUCCUGGAUAUGCAGCUGGCAUGAUAUAUUGAAAAUUUGCAGUGUUUCAGUGAACACACCUGGUCUGUCAACAGUAGAAACGUACCGUUUUUGUGCGCUGUAAAUUGCCAACGUAUUUACAUUACAAUGGCUGUCCCGGAGUGGUGUACCGGGUUCUGCCAGGCGAUGGCAUCAGUUGUACAACUUUGCGUUGCAAUUGGAGUGUUGCAGACGGAAAACAGAUGGCAGAGCAGUAGCAACCAGACCGGUGCACAGUCCCAGGAAUGAAGAUGGGUGGGGGAAAAUGAAGAAACUGCAAAGGCAACAUUAUACACAGUGCAGCCCCCAGCUGCUUAGCCCUGCGUUGUCUCCUCUGAUGCAUAGAGGUUUCAUCUUCUGCUGGUUUUGCUGCACAUAUUUAAGGACAGUUUAAAUUCUGCACUGUUGCAGUCUGCUCAAACUGGUUUAUAGGAGCUUGCUGCAGUGCCUGCCUGUGCGGAAGCAGCCACUCAAGCACAUUGGAGCAGCUGGGGCAUGUGGCAGCAUUCCUUCCUAUUGCGUGUCCUGUGGGUGCACAUUGGUUUGUGUCAGAAAAGGAGCAGAGGAGGUGGUACACUGGCUUGCCCAUUUCAUAUCUUAAUCAGCAGGUAUUUUUCCUUUGCUUUUUUCUGGGCUAAGGCAUGCUGUUAGUGACAAGAGUGAAUGCUGGGAGGGGUGAGACUUUCAGACCUUCAGACUUGUCAGCACUGAUCUUAAUAUACAAAAGGUGAAAAUGUUGGGGGGGUGGUUUAAUAAAAACAGGCAAAAAACUCGAGAGGUAUUUUAAUUGUAAGCCCUCUCUUGGUUUUGUUUUGAUUGUUUUGAUUUCAUUGGUUUUCUUGUUUGUUUUGAAUUUAGGAGGGGGGUUAAUUUGCUUCCAGAUCUCAUACAGCGCCUUUUGAAAUUGCUUCCCUUUGUUCUCUCCACUUUUCUUCCUCCAGUACUCACACUGUUGUAAAAGAUUUUGAUCAGAAAAUAUACCAGCAGGGAUUGGAACCACAUUGUUCUGUUGCUUUGGAAACAACUAAGAAGAGAAGUUUUCAUGAAAAUCCUGCAGACAAAGGUUCUCAGCCCAUACACUGAGCUUAAUUUCAGGGAGUUGUACAUUCUUGGGCAAGCUUAUUGCUUUUCCUCUUAGCCUGAGGGGAGACGGCCAUUGGGUGCUGAAAUUCAGUGCAGUUUGAUAAGGCUGUGUUGGCAGGGGUUGCGUCUGCAGCAGUCUGCUGUAACAGAGGAGGGCUUAUUGUGUGUAGCUGGAGCAGGCAGAGUUUGUGUAGCAACGGCUCUCCAGCCAAUCGUCGGAGGUGUUAGAUAAAGUGGAAGCGUUUGUAGCACUUCCUCUGCUUUUCUUUUUAAUUAGGCCAUAUUCUUUCCUGAACCCCCUCCUCCGCUGCAAGCAUCAGACAGCAUCCUGAAGCUGUCACUCUGUUCUGCGCAAUGGAAUUUGGAUAUUGGAAAGAUCUACAAUUUGAACCUAGCUGGUUUUGUGUAAUCUUUUUGUUUUGAGCCAUGUUUGCCAGGAGAAGGUUCUGUAUUUUGUUUUCCUCUGCCUUUCUUGGAGAGUACCUUGCAGUGCUGGCUGUGCUGUUCAUCUAAGUAAGAUGUCUGAAUUUGUGUGUAGGCAUUUUACUAAGAGGACUUAGUAGGAAAAAAAAAUCUCAUUGGCCUUUAGUUUAGUUUCUCAAUGUGUGUUUUGAUUAACUAGACUACAGCAGAGGGAGUUCUGGAAGCUGCUGCAUACAGCAUUACGUGGCUCACCAUAUCAGAGAGGGCUGACUCAUAAACGGUUCGCUCCGCUAUUAGCGAGUUUCCUUUAAUGAGGCAGAGGGGGUUGGAUAGUGCAUGCAGAUGAUGCUGGCAAGUAGCCUUGUGCUGGGAGGAGAUGGGAGAGGUUAAGAAUUAAUGCAAGUCAGAAAAGCUAGUACUGAGGAACUGAACUCUCUUCCCACCUUACAGCUAUUUGAGACAGCUGGAUGCACUGGAUAAUAGGAAUACAGAAGAAAAUGAUCCCUGAAGCGCCUCAGUCCGCUGCUCUGUGGAACUCUUUUGGAACAGAGGGAAAUCAGUCUUUUACUUAAAUAGGCUGAGUUUUCUUCUGCUGAGGAACAUCUCCAGCCCAAUAUCAGGGCUGUUUGGUGAAGCUGUAUCAUGUUGGUGGUGAGCAGUGUCCUUGCUUUGGUUCAAAAAAAAAAGUCCAACCUAAAGUAGCAGCAGCUGAGUUUCGGGGAAGAUACACAUUGCAUCUCCUGUUGUUACACACAGAGGCCUUGUGUUCUGCAGAAUAACAUGUCCUGCUGUUUUUGACAAGUUCUUGAAUUCGGUUUUAUGGUCUUUCAUAUCCUGCAGCCCUGUUAGCAUUUCUUUUUAGAAUUCUGUAUUACCCAAAGCCAAAGGAAUGACAGCCUGUUGCUCAGCUGUCAGAUGUGGCCGAGGGCACUGAUCACACAGCAAACUCUGUAACGUUUUGGAAACAAGCAGUCCUCUUUUAAAAGACCAAUUUUAGUGGAAGUGUUUCCAGUGCUUAUCAAGAAAAAGAUAGGAUGUUUAUUUUCUGGUAAAAAAAAAAGUUGUGCAAACACUGAACUCCAUAUAUACCAAACCUUAAAAUAUCAUUUUCAUUGGUAGAAUACUUGUGCAUUUUCACCCACACAUCCAUGCAGGUUGUUUGAGGAAGGCUGCAGUUUUAUUGGUGUUUUCCUACAGACAAGUUGGAAGUAGGCUACAAGCUGAGUGUUUAUUGAAUGAUACUUGUAGAGAGUGCUCUGUGUUCUCCUCCUGUGGAAAUAAACAUCACAGUCCGUUUUAAGAGACCAUUAAUUGGGGAAAUGAAACCAUAUGUGACACAAAUGCUACAUGUGUACAAGGCCACAGAACAGAGCUAAACAGAGAGCUGAUCUGUGUGUGGGUGCUGUGAACCAGUCACCAUUCUAUUAAUUAAAAGCGACAUUGUUAUGAAAUAGUCGUUACUUUGGAUGCCAAGGCAUGACCCCUGUACACAGUGAAAUUAGCUAAAUUUGCUGUGGUGUGUUUUGAAAGUGAAAGUGGCCUCUAAAAAUAGCUUUUAUCCUGGCAUCGAGAAAGCAAGCUGUAGUACUGCAGCACUCUUUAAGUGUCGCGUUUUCCUUUUUGGUCGAUGUGAUUGAUGUGUUUCAGUGACUUCUGUACGUAUUGCUAAGAUAUGUGCAUGACUGCAAGGGAGACAUCUUGUUUUAGGAAGUUCAGUAGACAGCUGGAUGUUCAGGAAAUAUCACUGACCAGUAAAGCACUGCUACCUGUGUUCUUGGUAAGAGAAAGAGCUGUGUUCAAGAAACUCGAAACUGAUGUAUUUGGGAAGGUAGGAGUGGGAGAGAAAAAGGAGACUGACUAUUGCUUUCGUUACUGAAAACAAGUAACUAUUUUGUAGACAGCCUGUAGUCCAUGAGCUGCAUGGAAUUGGGAUGCUCUCACUGUCGAGUUUCAACUUGCAGAUGUUCUGAGGAGAUGCUAGACAGCCCUGUUUUACCCUACAGAAAACUUUUGUUGAGUUUAGGUGCGUUUGCUGUUUUGACUGCAUUUGUUCAUGAUUGAGAGGUCACUGUCUGAACAGAAGAGGAGGAGAAUGGAGUGAGAAGCCUCUUUUCCUGGUAUCUUAUUCCUUAUGCUACUCCUCUCAAUGCAGAAGGAAGUCUCUGUCUCUGUUUUUCCAGUUGCCUUUUAUCUGACUAGAAAACAACACUGAGUUUGGUUCCUAUAUUUCACUGGCUUCUCCACACAUAUAACUUAAAAAAGAAUGGAUCUAUCUAUCAAGUUUUGCAGGUUGGUGGAGUAAGUUGUUUGAUGCCUAGGCAGGAGUUACAGAUGGAAGAAGCACAGGAACCCGUGAUGAUUCUUUCCACCAUCAGAAGACCAGGAAGGUCAGGAUAUAUUCCUCAUAUCCUCUGGACUGUCAGCAUGAAAUAAUUCUAGCCUGUAAACAGCAACAUCUCAGAUGUGUUGGUGAAAUGGCAUUGGCUGAAGUAGUCUUACUGGCAUCAUAAGAAUACAAACCACUAUUCUCAUAGCAGUACAGAAUAAUAGCACAAAAAGAGUGGAAGCUGGUAAGUCAAACCAGUGCACGGUAAGUUUCAUGUGAACUUUGGUAGCUCAAGAUUUCAAUGUGUUUAUUUCUGUUAACUUCUCUUUCUCUUCCAUGCUUCACAGUUCAGCAAGUGCUAUAUUAUUUUGAAUUAUUUCAUUCCUGCCUCUAAUCUGUAUUUGAAUCACUGUCAUGAAUUUCCACUGCUCGGUUUUUACCUCAAUUUAAGGGUGUGAAUUCUACCAACCACAGAGCCAAGGUGAGUUUCGGCAAACUGCAGCAGUGCAAUAAGAGGAAGUUUGCUAGUUGUUAAAAGAUGUCUGUGUUCCAGUGUCAAAUUUAGAACUGGUGCACAUUGUUGCAGCAUGCCAUUUUUUUUUGUCAAACAAAAAUUAGGAGGUGAUUACAGUCCAGUCAGUUUUGCAUCAUGGUCUUGUGUCUUCUUAUAGUUCCAUAAUUGUAUAUUAUAGCAGGUUCAUUAAAACACAUCAUAGUUAUUCUCAUUAGAAGUUAUUUUGCCUUCUAUGAAGACAACGUAUUUCUCCUCACUACUGGCAACCUGAAGUAGUAGCAAAGCACUAGUCAGACCUCAGUGCAAUGGGCUUGCAGACCUUCACAGCUCAAAGAUCUCACUUUGAGGUUUUGCUGUGGGUUAUUGGUUUUUUUUGUUGGUUUUUGUUUGUUUGUUUUCUGAAGCUGGAAAGAUAGAAAGUGUUGCUUGUCUGAUUUUAGGUGAAAAUCAAAUCCCACUGAAAUCAUUAUUUCAACACCUGGGCCUUUAGAGAGACUACUACAUCUUGAGUGGGCAAUAAAACUUUCAUUAUUCCAAAUAUUUUUUUUGCUAUUGCUGUAAACAGCAAUAAGACAAUUAGUAUGUUUGGUGAAGUGCUUGCCACUAGACUUUGCCUGUAUAUCUUAAAUCUAUAAAUCUAAAAAACCUAUUUUUUCUUUGAGUUCUGAGCAUAUAUUGACAAUAUUUACCCUCUUCAAACUGCUGAGCACUUGGUUCUUCAUCAAACCAAACCACUGUUAAUGGGUAGUCCAGCCUCUGGUUAAGAAAAGAAAUAAAAUAUUGCUUAAGAUAGUCUUUUUUUUUAUUAUGCAAGCUCUUUACAUAUGCUUAAAUUUGUGGUUUCUGAUUUCAUGGAGGUGUUUAGCAGUUAGGCAAACAUAGAAUGUCUCUGUGUUUGGCUUUUUCCUGGCAGCACAGCUGAGACAGCUGCAGAGAGACAAAUUCAGAGUCAGGUUCUGUUCACCAUUUAUUCCCUUCAUGCUCACAAGCACUGGCUUCACAGACCAUGUCAAAAUGCAGCUAGGGGAGUGCUGAGCAAUCAGUACCUAGAGGGAGCUGAAGUUUUGGCUUAGAACAACCUUUUUUAUUCCUUUUUUUUUUCUUUACCAUUCCAGAAAUGCAGACAAGACAAAUGGCUGUACAGCUUUAGGUGUUGUCUUACUGCUCAAAGCAUUUUAUCUGAGAAAUGAAGUUACUUUGUUCAGGUAUCCGUGUGUCUGGAGCCAGGUGACCUCUGUCCAUGUGUCUGUCACAUAUAAGAUCUUCUGUCUUUACGUGGGGUUCUCUUCAUGUGUUUACCUGUGUGGGCUGUUCCCUUGUUCAGCUGUGCACAUAUUGCAGUUCCUGAAAACCUAAUACAAGUUUAUACAGUCUUCUUCCUACAGGAUUCUCCCUUUGAAGGAGCCACUGGUGAUGCAGCACCUGCUUUGCAUCAGCACAUCUCAAAUAUGAUUGCCCAUACCAGACAUCCAUUAUCCUUCUGUUAUGGACCAUGUGUCCUGCUAUUUGUCUUGUGUGACAGGAGUCAAGAGAGGCCUUGAGGUCUCAAAGGUAGGAAGUAUCAAUAUUUCUGCUCAGAAGAGGAAGAAAUAGGCUGAAGCUGUAUUAAAGAAAGCAGUGUGAUCUCUACCUUUAUUGGACAGGAAGAAACCCACAAAAGACAAUUCCCUCACAUCUGUUUGUUCCUGGAGAUCUCAGUGGGAGUUCAUCCAUUAUAAAACACCAGAUUUAGUUCUCAGUUUGUUUUUCUUCUGAGUCAUUUUUCUGUCAUCAGUGAGGGAUAAACUCAUGAUAAAGAAUUGUAAUAAAAAUAUUGAAAAUAACUCAACCA
This is a long non-coding RNA of Tympanuchus pallidicinctus (lesser prairie-chicken), 7664 nucleotides long. RefSeq lists it as uncharacterized. The transcript has 5 exons. The record is from RefSeq and is a predicted model, not a curated record. Lineage: Eukaryota; Metazoa; Chordata; Aves; Galliformes; Phasianidae.